ACGGGAGGCAGCAGUGAGGAAUAUUGGUCAAUGGACGAGAGUCUGAACCAGCCAAGUAGCGUGCAGGAUGACGGCCCUAUGGGUUGUAAACUGCUUUUGUACGGGAAUAAAGUGACCUACGUGUAGGUUUUUGCAUGUACCGUAAGAAUAAGGACCGGCUAAUUCCGUGCCAGCAGCCGCGGUAAUACGGGAGGAUCCGAGUGUUAUCCGGAUUUAUUGGGUUUAAAGGGUGCGUAGGCGGUGGAUCAAGUCAGUGGUGAAAUGGUGCGGCUCAACCGUAGCAUUGCCGUUGAAACUGGUUUACUUGAGUGCGAAUGAGGUGGGCGGAAUGUGUCAUGUAGCGGUGAAAUGCAUAGAUAUGACACAGAACACCGAUUGCGGAGGCAGCUCACUGGGACGCGACUGACGCUGAGGCACGAAAGUGCGGGGAUCGAACAGGAUUAGAUACCCUGGUA
This 455-nucleotide ribosomal RNA is filed under the name uncultured Prevotella sp. Its description in RNAcentral is "partial 16S ribosomal RNA". It matches the Rfam family "Bacterial small subunit ribosomal RNA", at positions 341 to 792 of the family's 1533-position model. Lineage: Bacteria; Pseudomonadati; Bacteroidota; Bacteroidia; Bacteroidales; Prevotellaceae. The record is from RNAcentral.